GACGAACGCUGGCGGCGUGCCUAAUACAUGCAAGUCGAGCGGACUUAAAAAGCUUGCUUUUUAAGUUAGCGGCGGACGGGUGAGUAACACGUGGGCAACCUGCCUGUAAGACUGGGAUAACUUCGGGAAACCGGAGCUAAUACCGGAUAAUCCUUUCCUACUCAUGUAGGAAAGCUGAAGGACGGUUUACGCUUUCACUUACAGAUGGGCCCGCGGCGCAUUAGCUAGUUGGUGAGGUAACGGCUCACCAAGGCGACGAUGCGUAGCCGACCUGAGAGGGUGAUCGGCCACACUGGGACUGAGACACGGCCCAGACUCCUACGGGAGGCAGCAGUAGGGAAUCUUCCGCAAUGGACGAAAGUCUGACGGAGCAACGCCGCGUGAGUGAUGAAGGUUUUCGGAUCGUAAAACUCUGUUGUUAGGGAAGAACAAGUACGAGAGUAACUGCUCGUACCUUGACGGUACCUAACCAGAAAGCCACGGCUAACUACGUGCCAGCCGCCGCAGUAA
RNAcentral lists this ribosomal RNA (510 nucleotides) under uncultured bacterium. Its description in RNAcentral is "partial 16S ribosomal RNA". It matches the Rfam family "Bacterial small subunit ribosomal RNA", at positions 28 to 523 of the family's 1533-position model. The record is from RNAcentral.